Molecule: transfer RNA, 85 nt
Filed under: Bacteroidales bacterium
Lineage: Bacteria; Pseudomonadati; Bacteroidota; Bacteroidia; Bacteroidales
Description: tRNA-Leu
Rfam family: tRNA
About the family: Transfer RNA (tRNA) molecules are approximately 80 nucleotides in length. Their secondary structure includes four short double-helical elements and three loops (D, anti-codon, and T loops). Further hydrogen bonds mediate the characteristic L-shaped molecular structure. tRNAs have two regions of fundamental functional importance: the anti-codon, which is responsible for specific mRNA codon recognition, and the 3' end, to which the tRNAs corresponding amino acid is attached (by aminoacyl-tRNA synthetases). tRNAs cope with the degeneracy of the genetic code in two manners: having more than one tRNA (with a specific anti-codon) for a particular amino acid; and 'wobble' base-pairing, i.e. permitting non-standard base-pairing at the 3rd anti-codon position.
Source: RNAcentral
GCCUUGGUGGUGGAAUUGGUAGACACGAGGGACUUAAAAUCCCUUGAACAUUGCGUUCGUGCGGGUUCAAGUCCCGCCCGAGGUA